This is a long non-coding RNA of Gadus macrocephalus (Pacific cod), 560 nucleotides long. RefSeq lists it as uncharacterized. The transcript is spliced from 2 exons. Lineage: Eukaryota; Metazoa; Chordata; Actinopteri; Gadiformes; Gadidae. The record is from RefSeq and is a predicted model, not a curated record.
UGUACAACACACACGCAUUUUUCAGAUGGAUCUUUUGAACAGUAUAUUUUGGAUGACCUCUUGUGGCAGCAACGAGUAAAGCGUGCUGACUAAAUGCGUCACUGAAUGUUUUAUUUUUUAUUUUUAUACUUUGGCCCUUUUGAUGGAAUCAUGAUAAUAAACGAACGUUGUAAAUUGACUAAAAGCAAUUCCUGACUAUUACUAGACUAUGUUCAUAAAUAUAUGCAUAUUCAUAUUUAGGAACAGUAAGAAAAGAAGUGAAAAGUAAGAGGAAUAUGGUUGAUUUGUGAGAUAGUUUGGGAAUCGUUUAUAUAUAUAUAUAUAUUUAUAUAUAUAUUAGUGUAUCACAACAUACUAAUGGCCCCAUGGAGAGGAGUGCUGCUGCCUGACCGCUAGCUUGGAAGCCCCGUAUCCUCAGGCCGGCAAUCUCGUCUUUAGUUUCCGGCAUAAGGUCGCUGUAACUCGGAGCAUGAAAAAAAAAAAAAAAAAGACUUUCAAACUACAUAAACUGGAAUUGAGAUGCGUGAUUCCUUAAAUACACAACAUCCCAGUUGCUCUUU